UCUGCCUGCGGCGAUGGAGUUCGCCAUGUAACCGCCCGCGGGGCUGAUGACUCCUGUUCCUUG
This 63-nucleotide non-coding RNA is filed under the name Acidiphilium rubrum. Its description in RNAcentral is "Fluoride sequence". It matches the Rfam family "Fluoride riboswitch aptamer (crcB RNA motif)". Lineage: Bacteria; Pseudomonadati; Pseudomonadota; Alphaproteobacteria; Acetobacterales; Acidocellaceae. The record is from Rfam by way of RNAcentral.